This is a long non-coding RNA of Antechinus flavipes (yellow-footed antechinus), 670 nucleotides long. RefSeq lists it as uncharacterized. The record is from RefSeq and is a predicted model, not a curated record. NCBI's taxonomy places the organism in Eukaryota, Metazoa, Chordata, Mammalia, Dasyuromorphia, Dasyuridae. The transcript is spliced from 3 exons.
GCGGGCAGGAGGGCGAGAGCAGCGCGCUGUAGUCCGAGUUUGGGUUUCCGGGUACUGAGUUCCAGGAGUCAUCCCCAUCCCCCAGCCCGGGGGCGGAGAUUAGUAGAGUUAGGACUGGGAGUAGGGCGGAGAAAGCAAGGCAACUAAUCCCUGGAGAGCCCGAGGAUUACAAGAGGAAGGAAGAGGCCAUGUGCAAGUCAUCAUCAUCCUUCAAUACACAACCUGAACAUGGCCAGAUGAAACCUCUUGCUGUACCUCCAUCCUUUACAUUUUUUUUCCACAAAACCUCACUGGGAGGGUGGCUUAGAAACCAUGGCACACCAUCAUCCUGGAAAACCGAAUGAAGUUUACUGAUGCCAGAUACCUUGUCCAAGCUCCCAGAACACGGUGAAGUAGAAGAGCUGUUCUCUGCACAAUUUCAGGAAAAUGGGGCAAAUGCAUAAGACUUUGGAAUUUUCACAUUCACUAACCAAAAAAGACCUUUCUUCUAAUAGCGAUGUAAAUUCUUAGAAGAUUUCUUUGGUGUAACAGGGAAUAAGGUUCCAUUCACCCUCAGAAAGCUCCUAAAUAGACUGAAUCAAUCUUGUUUACAGAGUGGUUUUAUGCAGGAAGCAUAAUACCAGAACUUUUAGCCUCAAAAGUCAGAAGGAAAUUUAUCUACAAAGAAUCA